CUCUUAUACUUAUUAUUUUCUCUCAUAUUGAAGCUUGCGUGCCCCGUGGAGGUAAGCUUUGGGUUGAUUUACGUAUUUAAUUGUGUCUUUUUUAUUUCUUCUUUCUUUUUGCCACAACAACUGAUAUCAAAACUUCAAUAGGGCUGCCAUCCGCACUCAUGCUUUCUCACGAACUCCUUCAAAUAGAUCUAAAUUGGCACAAAGCUGCUCUAUAUUAUUUUGAUCAUCGUAACCCUCGAUCCAAUGUGAAGGGAGUACGAUUUCU
RNAcentral lists this long non-coding RNA (265 nucleotides) under Elaeis guineensis (African oil palm). Its description in RNAcentral is "long non-coding RNA (EGUI_LNC027391)". The record is from RNAcentral. Lineage: Eukaryota; Viridiplantae; Streptophyta; Magnoliopsida; Arecales; Arecaceae.